UACAGAGGUGGCAAGCGUUGUUCGGAAAUACUGGGCGUAAAGGGCGCGUAGGCGGCCUACUAAGUCAGACGUGAAAUCCCCCGGCUUAACCUGGGAACUGCGUCUGAUACUGGAAGGCUUGAGGAUGGGAGAGGGAUGUAGAAUUCCAGGUGUAGCGGUGAAAUGCGUAGAUAUCUGGAGGAAUACCGGUGGCGAAGGCGGCAUCCUGGACCAUUACUGACGCUGAGGCGCGAAAGCUAGGGGAGCAAAUGGG
Molecule: ribosomal RNA, 253 nt
Filed under: uncultured bacterium
Lineage: Bacteria
Description: partial 16S ribosomal RNA
Rfam family: Bacterial small subunit ribosomal RNA
Source: RNAcentral